AAUGCCAGCUGAUGAAGACUGAGAGGCCGCGACCCAACACCUUUGUCAUACGCUGCCUGCAGUGGACCACAGUCAUCGAGAGGACCUUCCACGUGGAUUCUCCAGAUGAGAGGGAGGAAUGGAUGCGGGCCAUCCAGAUGGUCGCCAACAGCCUCAAGCAGCGGGCCCCAGGCGAGGACCCCAUGGACUACAAGUGUGGCUCCCCCAGUGACUCCUCUACGGCUGAGGAGAUGGAAGUGGCGGUCAGCAAAGCACGGGCUAAAGUGACCAUGAAUGACUUCGACUAUCUCAAACUCCUUGGCAAGGGAACCUUUGGCAAAGUCAUCCUGGUGCGGGAGAAGGCCACUGGCCGCUACUACGCCAUGAAGAUCCUGCGGAAGGAAGUCAUCAUUGCCAAGGUGCGUGCCCCGGGAAUUGCGCUCGCGGGCCUCUGUGGGGGCUGCGGUCUGGAGCCUGACCCUGAGGCCUGGACGCUUACCCGUGCUUUCUGCUGCUGUGGGCUUAUUUCCCCCACAAAUUCCCCCUAGUCAGAAAAGGGGGAGCCUGAGGCCCAGAGAGGAGCAGCAGGCCUUGCUGCUGAGUCCCCACCUCCACCCUCUGGUAGGGGCUGGGGGUGCCUGUGGAGAGAGCGAGCCUCGGGGCCCCACCCAGCAGGUACUGUCAAGGGAGGCUGGGGCCUGUUGGGGAGGACGUCGCUGUUGGGGAGGCCCGGGCUUUGCUCAGGGUAUCCCAGGUGGAGGCCAGGCCAGGAAUGGAAUUCUACUUUUUCCCUUAUUUCAAUUUUUUGUAGUGGAAGAUUCCAAAGACAUUCAAAAAUUUAAAAAGAAAAUAAAUAUUACGGACCCCCAUGUAGCCAUUGUCCAGUUUAACCAGUUAUCAGCGUUUAGCCAGCCUUGUUUCCUUAGCUCUGCCUGUCCCUCUUGUUCUGGAAUACUUUAAGGCCUGUCCUAGACA
RNAcentral lists this small RNA (954 nucleotides) under Pan troglodytes (chimpanzee). RNAcentral describes it as "retained intron". The record is from RNAcentral. Lineage: Eukaryota; Metazoa; Chordata; Mammalia; Primates; Hominidae.